AAAAAGUUUGAUUCUGGCUUUUAAGUUAACUUAUUCAUUGAUCUAUAUGGUAAAAUAUUAAAUUAAUUUUGUUGUUCCAGUAGAGAGAAUUAAAUUUAAAGGAAAUUUUGAGUUAGAAAUUGAAUUAUGUUUAUUAAAGUAGAUUAAUAUUUGUGCCAGCAUUCGCGGUUACACAAUUUACUUAAGUUAAUUUUAUUGUUUUUAAAUUUAAUUUUUUCUAUAGGUUUUAGUACCAAACUAUUUAGGUGGAAUUUAUAGCUUGUUAAAAUAUCUAGUUUAAUUUAAUUUAGAAAUUUAUAUAAAUAAACUAGGAUUAGAUACCCUAUUAUUUUAAACGUGAAAUUUUUAUUAGAAUGGUAUUAGUUUACGGUCUUUAAAGCUCAAAGAAUUUGGCGGUAAGAUAUCAAUUUAGGGGAAUCUGUAUAUUAAUUGAUACUCCACAAUAGUUUGUACCUAUCAAUUUUAUUUGUAUACCGCUAUAUCUUUAGGAAUGUUAUUUGAGUAGACUUUCUUUAAUUAAUUUUAAUUCUAUAUUAGGUCAAGGUGCAGUUUUUUGAGGGUUUGUAUGGAUUACUUUUGUUUUAAGUGUUAGGAUUUUAGUUUUGAUAAAAUUAAAUUGAAUUAGGAUUUAAUAGUAAGUUUUAAAUUAAUUUAUUUGACUGAAUAUUGCUAUGUUUUAUGUACAUAUCGCCCGUCACUCCUAAUUAAGUUAGGAUAAGUCGUAACAAAGUAAUCUUACCGGAAGGUGGGGUUAGAAUAAACAUUAAAAU
RNAcentral lists this non-coding RNA (770 nucleotides) under Nesophrosyne sp. 246 GMB-2012. Lineage: Eukaryota; Metazoa; Arthropoda; Insecta; Hemiptera; Cicadellidae. The record is from RNAcentral.